This 254-nucleotide ribosomal RNA is filed under the name uncultured bacterium. Its description in RNAcentral is "partial 16S ribosomal RNA". It matches the Rfam family "Bacterial small subunit ribosomal RNA", at positions 524 to 776 of the family's 1533-position model. The record is from RNAcentral.
UACGUAGGGUGCGAGCGUUGCCCGGAAUUACUGGGCGUAAAGAGCUCGUAGGUGGUUUGUCGCGUUGUCCGUGAAAACUCACAGCUCAACUGUGGGCGUGCGGGCGAUACGGGCAGACUGGAGUACUGCAGGGGAGACUGGAAUUCCUGGUGUAGCAGUGAAAUGCGUAGAUAUCGGGAGGAAUACCGAUGGCGAAGGCAGGUCUCUGGGCUAGUAACUGACGCUCAUGCACGAAAGCGUGGGGAGCAAACAGG